This 46-nucleotide non-coding RNA is filed under the name Schistosoma mansoni. The record is from RNAcentral. Lineage: Eukaryota; Metazoa; Platyhelminthes; Trematoda; Strigeidida; Schistosomatidae.
GCACUGCUGACGAGUCCCACAAUAGGACGAAACGGCCGUCAAGUAG